AACGAACGCUGGCGGCGCGCUUAACACAUGCAAGUCGAACGAGAAGGCGUAGCAAUACGCUUGUACAGUGGCGAACGGGUGAGUAAUACGUGGGCGACCUACCCUCGAGUGGGAAUAACCCGCCGAAAGGCGGGCUAAUGCCGCGUACGCUUCCAUCUUUAUGGAGGUGGAAGGAAAGCCGUGCCGUGGGCACGGCGCUCAAGGAUGGGCUCACGUCCUAUCAGCUUGUUGGAGGGUAACGGCCUACCAAGGCUCCGACGGGUAGCUGGUCUGAGAGGACGAUCAGCCACACUGGCACUGCGACACGGGCCAGACUCCUACGGGAGGCAGCAGUGAGGAAUAUU
RNAcentral lists this ribosomal RNA (344 nucleotides) under uncultured bacterium. RNAcentral describes it as "bacterial SSU rRNA". It matches the Rfam family "Bacterial small subunit ribosomal RNA", at positions 29 to 365 of the family's 1533-position model. The record is from RNAcentral.